GAUGAAGAACGUAGCGAAAGUGCGAAACGUAAUGUGAAUUGCAGAAUUCAGUGAAUCAUCGAAUCUUUGAACGCACAUUGCGCCCGCCAGUAUUCUGGCGGGCAUGCCUGUCUGAGCGUCAUUUCAACCCUCAUGCCCCUAGGGCGUGGUGUUGGGGAUCGGCCAAAGCCCGCGAGGGACGGCCGGCCCCUAAAUCUAGUGGCGGACCCGUCGUGGCCUCCUCUGCGAAGUAGUGAUAUUCCGCAUCGGAGAGCGAUGAGCCCCUGCCGUUAAACCCCCAACUUUCCAAGGUUGACCUCAGAUCAGGUAGGAAUACCCGCUGAACUUAAGCAUAUCAAUAAGCGGAGGA
Molecule: unclassified non-coding RNA, 349 nt
Filed under: soil metagenome
Description: partial contains 5.8S ribosomal RNA, internal transcribed spacer 2, and large subunit ribosomal RNA
Rfam family: 5.8S ribosomal RNA (bases 1-121)
Source: RNAcentral